This is a long non-coding RNA of Etheostoma spectabile (orangethroat darter), 164 nucleotides long. RefSeq lists it as uncharacterized. The record is from RefSeq and is a predicted model, not a curated record. Lineage: Eukaryota; Metazoa; Chordata; Actinopteri; Perciformes; Percidae. The transcript is spliced from 4 exons.
AAUAUUUGUAUCACAUAAACUUAAAUAAGGUAUAGGCCUGUCACAAUAACAAAUUUUGCAAGACUAUAAAUUGUCCCAGAAAUUAUUGCGAUAAACAAUAAUAUUGUCGUUCUGAGACCAUUUGCAUCUCAGAUAAUGGCAUAAUAAAGCAUGUACACCUUGUC